This 576-nucleotide ribosomal RNA is filed under the name Colletotrichum sp. BDS-2011. RNAcentral describes it as "eukaryotic LSU rRNA". The stretch from base 214 to 367 matches the Rfam family "5.8S ribosomal RNA". The record is from RNAcentral. Lineage: Eukaryota; Fungi; Ascomycota; Sordariomycetes; Glomerellales; Glomerellaceae.
GUAACAAGGUCUCCGUUGGUGAACCAGCGGAGGGAUCAUUACUGAGUUUACGCUCUACAACCCUUUGUGAACAUACCUAUAACUGUUGCUUCGGCGGGUAGGGUCUCCGCGACCCUCCCGGCCUCCCGCCUCCGGGCGGGUCGGCGCCCGCCGGAGGAUAACCAAACUCUGAUUUAACGACGUUUCUUCUGAGUGGUACAAGCAAAUAAUCAAAACUUUUAACAACGGAUCUCUUGGUUCUGGCAUCGAUGAAGAACGCAGCGAAAUGCGAUAAGUAAUGUGAAUUGCAGAAUUCAGUGAAUCAUCGAAUCUUUGAACGCACAUUGCGCCCGCCAGCAUUCUGGCGGGCAUGCCUGUUCGAGCGUCAUUUCAACCCUCAAGCUCUGCUUGGUGUUGGGGCCCUACAGCUGAUGUAGGCCCUCAAAGGUAGUGGCGGACCCUCUCGGAGCCUCCUUUGCGUAGUAACUUUACGUCUCGCACUGGGAUCCGGAGGGACUCUUGCCGUAAAACCCCCAAUUUUCCAAAGGUUGACCUCGGAUCAGGUAGGAAUACCCGCUGAACUUAAGCAUAUCAAUA